This 692-nucleotide long non-coding RNA is filed under the name Gossypium barbadense (sea-island cotton). Its description in RNAcentral is "long non-coding RNA (GBAR_LNC018343)". Lineage: Eukaryota; Viridiplantae; Streptophyta; Magnoliopsida; Malvales; Malvaceae. The record is from RNAcentral.
ACAAGUUUAGGUACUAAUAUUAUAUUUAACCCAAUUGAAAAUUGGCGGAUCUUUAAAAAUUAAAUUCCUCACUUUCAUAACCUUUACCAAAAGCGCCUAACCAACACGACGGAGUGCACCAAAUAUUCUAAUUGUCUAGAAACUGUUUAACAUGUCUUCAGGGACUACCUAACAACAAGACAAACAUGACAGGAAUUAAAUUUGCAAUGGUCUCAAGAAAGCUCAGAUUUAAACCAUCAAAACUAGAUGACUAGCCUCUAUGAACAAUUCCAAACAAGUGUACAAGAAAGUGACAUGUAGUCUGUGGGUUAGUUAGAUAACAAGAAACAAAUUCAUACACAAAUUAACGAUACUUGCAACCAAGGAGAUAGCAAAAAAAGUCAUGGCCUAUAUUGCGAAAAUAGAUAAGGUAAGUGCAAAAAUAUGUAACAGAAAAAUUUAUUGCAAAAGUUGGAAGGCUCAAGAACGAACAAUGGUAAAAAUAAAUUAUGACACUGUCUAUCAAGCCCAUUCACUAAAUUCAUGUACGAGGUUGGUGGCUAGAGACUUAAGCGAACAUGUGAUUGGAAUCCAAACAAUCAAAAAUGACUAUAUACCUUUGAUGUGUGCUAUCGAAGCUCUUGCAUGUAUCCAAGCUGUCAAUAUGGGAGCAGAGCUAAGGCUAAGAGAUCUGACCAUGAAAGGUAAUGCUC